Molecule: ribosomal RNA, 457 nt
Filed under: uncultured bacterium
Lineage: Bacteria
Description: partial 16S ribosomal RNA
Rfam family: Bacterial small subunit ribosomal RNA
Source: RNAcentral
CCUACGGGAGGCAGCAGUGGGGAAUAUUGUACAAUGGGGGAAACCCUGAUGCAGCGACGCCGCGUGCGUGAAGAAGUAUUUCGGUACGUAAAGCUCUAUCAGCAGGGAAGAAAAAAAGUCCUUUGGACUUUGGACGGUACCUGACCAAGAAGCCCCGGCUAACUACGUGCCAGCAGCCGCGGUAAUACGUAGGGGGCAAGCGUUAUCCGGAUUUACUGGGGGUAAAGGGAGCGUAGACGGCAGCGCAAGUCUGGAGUGAAAUGCCGGGGCCCAACCCCGGAACUGCUUGGGAAACUGUGCAGCUGGAGUGCAGGAGAGGUAAGCGGAAUUCCUAGUGUAGCGGUGAAAUGCGUAGAUAUGAGGAGGAACACCAGUGGCGAAGGCGGCUUACUGGACUGUAACUGACGUUGAUGCUCGAAAGCGGGGGGAGCAAACAGGAUUAGAUACCCCUGUAGUC